AAAAAAGAAAGAAAAAGGGUUUAAGUGAUGUGUAACACCCAAAAAUCCAGGUCUUUCAAAUAGAAAGUGUGUUCAGGCCACGGUAGAAGAAAGGAGCAAGAGCACUACAGUUUCCCCUCUGGCUGCCAGCAAACCACCUUAGGAUUCAUUCUGAAUGUUUCAGGUGAGAUUUGUAUCUAUCUGGACAGCUGUAAGAGUUAUU
RNAcentral lists this long non-coding RNA (202 nucleotides) under Junco hyemalis (dark-eyed junco). RNAcentral describes it as "lncRNA (ENSJHYG00000006159.1)". Lineage: Eukaryota; Metazoa; Chordata; Aves; Passeriformes; Passerellidae. The record is from RNAcentral.